This is a long non-coding RNA of Quercus lobata, 734 nucleotides long. RefSeq lists it as uncharacterized. The record is from RefSeq and is a predicted model, not a curated record. The transcript has 2 exons. NCBI's taxonomy places the organism in Eukaryota, Viridiplantae, Streptophyta, Magnoliopsida, Fagales, Fagaceae.
CUCUCUGUGUAUGCAUGCGUGUGUGCGCUCAUUUGUAAGCCAUGGCAAAUUUCACAAUUAAUAACAAGUUAAUACUCUCACUAUUCAUCUUUGUUCAGUUCAUCAUCAUCAUCAGUACUCCAGGAUCCAAUGCUGAGCUGAUGCCAGUUGAGACAUCAACCAAAACAUUAGUGCCCAUAGGCCCAAUUUUUGGAAUUGGAUUUCCAGGCUUUCCUGAUGCAAGUGCUGGAAAGGUUUGUUUAAAAUGCACUUGUUGCGCAGAUCCUUCUAAAAGGGAAGGUUGCAUCUCUCAGCAAUGCUGCUAUAGCGAGAGAUGCGACAUUCCCCAAAAGCCUCCUGGAUAUUGUGCUUUUUCACCCAUUAAAUGUAACUGUGACUCUUGCUCUUCUACCUAACUCUAUCCUUUCCAUCUUUACUUUCCAUACUUCUGUCUAAGCCAAACUAGCCUCCUAACUAGAUAAAUAAAAAUAAGAGAUUCUCCCUUAUGCAUUUAUUUUGCUAUAUAUGUGCCAACACAGAAAAACCAACCUUUUCACAGACUUGUACAAGUUUUUCAGUGUUUACACACUUCACCUAUCUGUUAUUACCGAAGUGAUAUAGAUAUGUAUAGAGUGUAAACAUAAUUACUUGAACAGUUGGUCGUGGAGCUGUUGCUAAAUAUUAUCAGUCCCUCUUAUACUUGUACUGUUAUUAAUUUCUAAAUUAAUGAAGAUGAAUCUCUUUUGUCUAGCGUU